CCUACGGGAGGCAGCAGUGGGGAAUAUUGCACAAUGGCGGAAACCCUGAUGCAGCGACGCCGCGUGAGUGAAGAAGUAAUUCGUUAUGUAAAGCUCUAUCAGCAGGGAAGAAAAUGACGUUACCUGAGUAAGAAGCCCCGGCUAACUACGGGCCAGCAGCCGCGGUAAGACGUAGGGGGCAAGCUUUAUCCGGAUUUACUGGGUGUAAAGGGAGCGUAGAGGGCAGUGCAAGUCUGGAGUGAAAGGCGGGGGCUCAACCCCCGGUCUGCUCUGGAAACUGUACGGCUGGAGUGCAGGAGAGGUAAGUGGAAUGCGUAGUGUAGCGGUGAAAUGCGUAGAUAUUAGGAGGAACACCAGUGGCGAAGGCGGCUUACUGGCCUGUAACUGACGUUGAGGCUCGAAAGCGUGGGGAGCAAACAGGAUUAGAUACCCUUGUAGUC
Molecule: ribosomal RNA, 440 nt
Filed under: uncultured bacterium
Lineage: Bacteria
Description: partial 16S ribosomal RNA
Rfam family: Bacterial small subunit ribosomal RNA
Source: RNAcentral